Molecule: ribosomal RNA, 492 nt
Filed under: uncultured bacterium
Lineage: Bacteria
Description: partial 16S ribosomal RNA
Rfam family: Bacterial small subunit ribosomal RNA
Source: RNAcentral
AGUGAACGCUGGCGGUAGGCCUAACACAUGCAAGUCGAACGGCAGCACAGUAAGAGCUUGCUCUUACGGGUGGCGAGUGGCGGACGGGUGAGGAAUACAUCGGAAUCUACUUUUUCGUGGGGGAUAACGUAGGGAAACUUACGCUAAUACCGCAUACGACCUACGGGUGAAAGCAGGGGAUCUUCGGACCUUGUGCGAUUGAAUGAGCCGAUGUCGGAUUAGCUAGUUGGCGGGGUAAAGGCCCACCAAGGCGACGAUCCGUAGCUGGUCUGAGAGGAUGAUCAGCCACACUGGAACUGAGACACGGUCCAGACUCCUACGGGAGGCAGCAGUGGGGAAUAUUGGACAAUGGGCGCAAGCCUGAUCCAGCCAUACCGCGUGGGUGAAGAAGGCCUUCGGGUUGUAAAGCCCUUUUGUUGGGAAAGAAAAGCGGCAGGUUAAUACCCCGCUGUUCUGACGGUACCCAAAGAAUAAGCACCGGCUAACUUCGUG